Molecule: long non-coding RNA, 384 nt
Organism: Carassius carassius (crucian carp)
Lineage: Eukaryota; Metazoa; Chordata; Actinopteri; Cypriniformes; Cyprinidae
Exons: 3
Source: RefSeq, a predicted model, not a curated record
CAUGUAGACACUCCACCGUGUUUUUGUCUAUCAAACAGGAGAUGUGCAGUACAGAACAGACAGUAAAUCAGGAUCAGUUUCACCUGCAGCCAGCCUCCAUAAAACUGAAGGAGGGAGUUGAGCUCCACUUGUUUUAUGAGUGAAGUCAAACAUUUCCAUGCUGUAAAGACCCGUCUUGCUGCUGGAGAGAAGCCAGGGCAUGUAUCCGUGUUUACCUCACAGGCACCGGGUCGCACGCCCCUUUCAUGCUGAUGUCAGAUUGGCACGACACAUGGAGGAUGAAGUGAAGUUGCAAUAUACACAACAGCAGAGGGAGCAGUUUUUAUCUGGAUUCUGUCACAAAUCUGGACUCGAGGGGACAGCCGGCUGUGAUUCUGCAGGGAU